AGAAGGGGAAAAGUCUGGAAAUUUACUUAUCUUCUUUCUGCUCCUGUGGAAGCCAUUGCAAAGUCGUGAACAAAAUCAACUUCUGGUCAACUCGACAUUAUAACUUUCGAUCAAAAGCGUUAAGGUUUCGUUUAGGACUUCAAUGAGGCAAAGGUUUGAAGAAAUCUGAAGGUUGAAGUGUUGAGGAUAGCAUACUCCCGUGAAGAUCAGAUCAGGACAAAUGAAU
Hibiscus syriacus is the source of this 226-nucleotide long non-coding RNA. RefSeq lists it as uncharacterized. The record is from RefSeq and is a predicted model, not a curated record. NCBI's taxonomy places the organism in Eukaryota, Viridiplantae, Streptophyta, Magnoliopsida, Malvales, Malvaceae. The transcript has 3 exons.